AAGUGGAGCAAUCCAUGAGUAUAGUGGCGACCGGGUGAGUAACACGUGACUACCUGCCCUUGAGUGGGGGAUAACCUCGGGAAACCGAGGCUAAUACCGCAUAAUAUCGAAAGAUCAAAGAAGCAAUCCGCUUUUGGAGGGGGUCGCGGCUGAUUAGCUAGUUGGUAGGGUAAUGGCCUACCAAGGCGAAGAUCGGUAUCCGGCCUGAGAGGGCGCACGGACACACUGGAACUGAAACACGGUCCAGACUCCUACGGGAGGCAGCAGUGGGGAAUUUUGCGCAAUGGGGGAAACCCUGACGCAGCAACGCCGCGUGGAGGAUGAAGCCCCUUGGG
RNAcentral lists this ribosomal RNA (335 nucleotides) under uncultured bacterium. RNAcentral's name for it is "bacterial SSU rRNA". It matches the Rfam family "Bacterial small subunit ribosomal RNA", at positions 72 to 422 of the family's 1533-position model. The record is from RNAcentral.